RNAcentral lists this ribosomal RNA (270 nucleotides) under uncultured bacterium. RNAcentral describes it as "partial 16S ribosomal RNA". It matches the Rfam family "Bacterial small subunit ribosomal RNA", at positions 28 to 329 of the family's 1533-position model. The record is from RNAcentral.
GAUGAACGCUGGCGGCGUGCCUAAGACAUGCAAGUCGAGUGGGUUUAGACCCACGGCGAACGGGUGAGUAAUACCUAGGAACUUUCUUUAAGUUGAGGAUAUCCCAUCGAAAGAUGGUGCAAUACUCAAUGUGGCAGUAAUGCUAAAGCAGCAAUGCGCUUAAAGUGAGGCCUGGGCACCAUCAGCUAGUUGGUAAGGUAACGGCUUACCAAGGCUAUGACGGUUAGGGGUCCCGAGAGGGAUAACCCCCACACUGGAACUGCGACACGG